UUUUAGCCCUGAUGGUAGUGACAUCCUUUUCUUGCAUUCUUUAGGCAAGGAAAGAUAUAACGAACAGCAGGAAUAGCU
This 78-nucleotide small RNA is filed under the name Flavobacterium degerlachei. RNAcentral's name for it is "Flavo-1 RNA". It matches the Rfam family "Flavo-1 RNA". The record is from RNAcentral. Lineage: Bacteria; Pseudomonadati; Bacteroidota; Flavobacteriia; Flavobacteriales; Flavobacteriaceae.